Molecule: ribosomal RNA, 301 nt
Filed under: uncultured bacterium
Lineage: Bacteria
Description: partial 16S ribosomal RNA
Rfam family: Bacterial small subunit ribosomal RNA
Source: RNAcentral
CAGUAGCCACGGGAAUACGUAGGGCGCAAGCGUUGUCCGGAAUUAUUGGGCGUAAAGAGCUCGUAGGCGGUCUGUCGCGUCUGGUGUGAAAUCCCGAGGCUCAACCUCGGGCUUGCAUCGGGUACGGGCAGACUAGAGUGCGGUAGGGGAGACUGGAAUUCCUGGUGUAGCGGUGGAAUGCGCAGAUAUCAGGAGGAACACCGAUGGCGAAGGCAGGUCUCUGGGCCGCAACUGACGCUGAGGAGCGAAAGCAUGGGGAGCGAACAGGAUUAGAUGCCCCGGUAGUCCCUGUCUCUUAUAC